GUUAUACUCUCUCGGUUCGAAAAUACUUGUCCAAAAAAUGAAUGUAUCUAGACGUAUUUUAGUUCUAGAUAUAUUUAUUUUUAUUCAUUUCUUCGACAAGUAUGUCUGAUGGAGGGAGUAUUUG
Non-coding RNA from Hordeum vulgare subsp. vulgare (domesticated barley), 124 nucleotides. The record is from Rfam. Lineage: Eukaryota; Viridiplantae; Streptophyta; Magnoliopsida; Poales; Poaceae.